CAGUCGAACGGUAGCACAGAGGAGCUUGCUCCUUGGGUGACGAGUGGCGGACGGGUGAGUAAUGUCUGGGAAACUGCCCGAUGGAGGGGGAUAACUACUGGAAACGGUAGCUAAUACCGCAUAACGUCGCAAGACCAAAGAGGGGGACCUUCGGGCCUCUUGCCAUCGGAUGUGCCCAGAUGGGAUUAGCUAGUAGGUGGGGUAACGGCUCACCUAGGCGACGAUCCCUAGCUGGUCUGAGAGGAUGACCAGCCACACUGGAACUGAGACACGGUCCAGACUCCUACGGGAGGCAGCAGUGGGGAAUAUUGCACAAUGGGCGCAAGCCUGAUGCAGCCAUGCCGCGUGUAUGAAGAAGGCCUUCGGGUUGUAAAGUACUUUCAGCGAGGAGGAAGGYGUUGUGGUUAAUAACCGCAGCAAUUGACGUUACUCGCAGAAGAAGCACCGGCUAACUCCGUGCCAGCAGCCGCGGUAAUACGGAGGGUGCAAGCGUUAAUCGGAAUUACUGGGCGUAAAGCGCACGCAGGCGGUCUGUCAAGUCGGAUGUGAAAUCCCCGGGCUCAACCUGGGAACUGCAUCCGAAACUGGCAGGCUAGAGUCUUGUAGAGGGGGGUAGAAUUCCAGGUGUAGCGGUGAAAUGCGUAGAGAUCUGGAGGAAUACCGGUGGCGAAGGCGGCCCCCUGGACAAAGACUGACGCUC
RNAcentral lists this ribosomal RNA (700 nucleotides) under Citrobacter freundii. RNAcentral's name for it is "bacterial SSU rRNA". Lineage: Bacteria; Pseudomonadati; Pseudomonadota; Gammaproteobacteria; Enterobacterales; Enterobacteriaceae. The record is from RNAcentral.